CGCAAUCAGGUUAGGACACGUGUCUUAAGGGGUCGCUGUUUUUUGCGGCAUUCCUAGAAGUUUGGGCCUCCUGAUGUAAGGAGGCCUAGCCUUUUACCCUUAUGUCAUUCUCUUUAUUUCAGGUGCUCUAUUGUUUGUUUUUUGUAUGUGUCAUCUUCCUAUGGCGUAUCUCUAAAUUAUUAUUGUUCUCAUCAUCAUUUAUUAAUUCUAGCCUCGUCCGAAGACGAAGAUGAUCAAAAUUCUGAUCACUCGAAACAAUAUUCUCAACAUGAUGUAAAUUCUAAUGAUGAAGGUGAUCAUCCUUGUUCUUGGAUAUAGCUUGUAAUUUUUUUUUUUUUAAAAAAAAAUAUUAUUGUAAUUUAAUUUAAGAAAAAUUCACUAAACAUGAUUUCUGUUUGACAGGUACUUGUGAUACUAAUUCAGUUUCGGUAUUUCUUUGAUUUUGUUUAGCCGUUUCACUAUCUAGUCCCUCUUUUGUGUUUAACUUCUUAUGAUAUGAUCACUCAACCCUAUGAUGUUCUUGUGCUCAUCCUAGACGUGUUAAAUCUUAUGAUGGAGCAUUCACUUUUCAACCCCAUUUGUUCAGUUUUCAACCUCAUUCACUCACUUUUAGUUGCAUGUCUUUUCAUCCUUGAGUAAUAUUGUUGCUGGCAAAUAUCGUGUGCAGCCCAAGUUUGACAGCUCGGGAGUUGCAAAGGCAGAGAUUACAUCUCAGAUGAGCCUGAAGAUAACAUCUCAGAUCAUAAGUUUAAUUGGGUUGAUUAUAUUGACCGUGUGUAUGCAGAGGCAGAGAUUACUUGUACUUGCCCUGCACCUACAAGUCCAGAGGUAAACAUUAGUAUGUUUGUCCGUAUAAAUUUAAUAAAUUGAGAGAUAAAAUCAUUGUCCAUUAGAGAUAAAUGAAGUAGAUGUCAUUGUGCAUUAUUGUACAUUAAAAUCCUGGUUUCGCCACUGAUAUUUUGCAUGUCACGCAAUAGUGAAUUGUGUUAUUUAUACUGCCCUUAUGCUGGAUGUUUUAGUGCCAAGAUGCACAGGGAGCAGCUUAGAAAGAUGCAAGGCGAUAGUAGAAUUCGUUCUAUUCUUCCGGCAGAUUACCUUUGCAAUUGCUAGGCCGGAUCUAAGGCUACUUCUUGGAUCUCUUGAUGAUCGUUUGUUGACAUCGAUUUUCUGUGUGAAGGUGUAGACCCAAUGCACAAUCAUGUGAAUUGAACUUUGCAUAUAAUCAUGUGAAUUUUAGCCUCACAUUUCUCACAACCUAAAACAUAUUUAAGGAACAAUAGGGAAUUAUUCUACCUCCAUUAACCUCCCUCUUUUGUACUACCUCCAUUAAUAGUUAUCUGCAACUUUGGGUAUUA
This is a long non-coding RNA of Chenopodium quinoa (quinoa), 1355 nucleotides long. RefSeq lists it as uncharacterized. NCBI's taxonomy places the organism in Eukaryota, Viridiplantae, Streptophyta, Magnoliopsida, Caryophyllales, Amaranthaceae. The transcript has 3 exons. The record is from RefSeq and is a predicted model, not a curated record.